Molecule: ribosomal RNA, 930 nt
Filed under: Hemiselmis rufescens
Lineage: Eukaryota; Cryptophyceae; Cryptomonadales; Hemiselmidaceae
Description: partial large subunit ribosomal RNA
Rfam family: Eukaryotic large subunit ribosomal RNA
Source: RNAcentral
GAAGCGGGAAGAGCUCAAGCUGAAAAUCUUCGGAAUUGUGGUCUAUAGGUGCGGACUCGCGCAGCCCCAGGUAUAAAUCCGUUCUUGGAAUUGGGUGCCAGAGAGGGUUAGAGCCCCGUCUUUGACUUGGGUAGCUGUGCGUGGCGAGUCUUUACCGGAGAGUCGGCUUGCUUGGGAAUGCAGGCCAAAAUGGGUGGUAAACUUCAUCUAAAGCUAAAUAUUGGCGAGAGACCGAUAGCGAACAAGUACUGUGAAGGAAAGAUGGAAAGAACUUUGAAAAGAGAGUGAAAAAGGGCUUGAAAUUGUUAAGAGGAGAAGUGAUUGGAGCAUAUCAUACGGCGUGGGGUUCCAGAGACGGGACUUGUCUUGUCUUGCACCAUCCCGCGUUGUUGGUCAGCAUCGAUUCUGUGUGGGGGAGAAAGCCUUUUGCGUUGAUGGCUUCGGCUUGAUCGGAAGGGGUGAAACCUCGGAUGGGAUCGAGGCAGCAAGUCUACGCUUGGCGGCCGGCCCCUUUUGCGGCUUUCUACAUGUUGCACACCCUUUUGGCGUCUGUGGCGUGUGGGGGGUCGAUAGGAGGGAGCGCUGGACCUGUAGACUUAAGAUGCUGGCACAAUGGCUUCAAUCAGCCCGUCUUGAAACACGGACCAAGGAGUCUAACACGUAUGCGAGUAGUAAGGUGGCAAACCUUGGAUGCGCAAUGAAAGUAAAUGUAGGUGGGAUCCGCAAGGUGCACCAUCGACCGACCAGGAUCUUUUUGUGAAAGGUUUGAGUAAGAGCAUAUUUGUUGGGACCCGAAAGAUGGUGAACUAUGCCUGAAUAGGGUGAAGCCGGAGGAAACUCCGGUGGAGGCUCGUAGCGGUACUGACGUGCAAAUCGUUCGUCAAAUUUGGGNAUAGGGGCGAAAGACUAAUCGAACCAUCUAGUAGCUGG